UGUGAGCAGCCAUUGUGAUCAUGCUUUUUGCCUAGCGCCCUCUCGCGGCCAACUAAACUUUUUUUAACAGCGCGUGCCGCCUAGAAUUUGGCUCAACUAUGCGAUGGGCGUAGCGAGCGUGCAAGUUUUGCAUUCCAACGCGCUUUGUUUAAGCGGAAUAGUUGACAUUCCGGGCGUUUCGGUAUAGUUUUCUUGUAGGGCCUGCUGCGGAAUAUUGUUGAUUUCGAUCCAACAUUUUGUUGCGAGCAGACCAUCUAUUACGAGCGCUUACACUCUUCACUUGUAUUACAAUUUUGAGGGAGGCUCCCUAUACUAGCAGUAAAAUAUUUACAUCUACAUUGUAUUUUCACUGCUGAUCGUCGAUUUUCACAUCGGAGUAGGCAUGAACGUAGAUCUUCCCAAGUGAUUAAUAUCCUUGGAGCUACUUCAUUAGCCAUUUCCCUUUUGACUGUCGUUUUUAUAUACCCAACCAAGUUUCUAAUAUAAUUCUUGUGUAAAUAUCUAAUAAUUUGUAUAUAUUGUCUCUAUUUGUAUUAUAAAUAAAACCAUUUCAUAUUUGUGAGACUACAGAAAGUUCGCUCUUCCCAAAUCAUUUUUUAGUGGAACCACUCGGACAUAAGGAGAGUGCCCCAUUUUAACAAACUAAAUUCCACUCUCCCCGGUUACACUUGGCGUAGUCGGCAGGAUAGCUUUGCUAUCCACUUCUUUAUUUUAGAUUUGGGAGCGAAAUUGGAUAAAUUAAAUCAGGGCUAAACGGCAGUCAAAUAUAUAGGGAAUUCGCCUGGCACUGAUGAGACCGGGAGCUCUGUGGCGUCGUUCUGCUCAUGACGAUUGGGUACCAGACCAGGUAGACUAAGGAGGGGUGUACCGGCCCAGGUUCCUGCCGCCUUCCUUCCUUGGUGCCAUCUUGAAAGAAGAACUGCCAGCUGAGAACCACUGACUGACCUCCAGAGUGAGCUGCAGGAGUGUGUCAUCUGCUGCCAUUAGACGCCACUGAACUGUCUUCUUUUGGCAAAAUCCAAAAACAGAACUCCUUCCAUCUUGGUGGCCGUCCAUCGAUCUGACAGCGACGAUUGGUCUCUGGAGCGGGCUGUAGGAGCUUCAUUUUCAUAUUUUUGCUGGUGGUGGUUAUAUUUCUUGCUUGUUGUGAUUCAUUGCAUUAUUAUUGUUCUCUAAAAAUCUAGAAAAAAGACUAAGAACACAACGAAAUUUUACCUGUGAAACACAUAUUGUGCCUGCUUAUACACACUGUAGCGUAGAGAUGGACGGAUCCAAAGCUUUUUUAUUUUUAGUAUUUUAAUUGUUAUUUCAAUAUGCACUGCUCCUUUAUAGCUCAAUAUUCUUCCUCUCAUAGUAAUGGUUGUAUUUAUUUCAACAUUACCUUUUUGGCUUAUUGAGGAAGUGCUUGGAAUUCUUGAUAUUUUUAAUGGAGCUCUGUUACAAUGAUUCUUGUUGAACAUUUUUAACGCCCUUGAGGCAGUUGUCUUUUCUUUUAUAUUUUUCUGUGCAUGCAGAUUUGGGACAUACUUCCACUUGGGUGACUACGUUCAUGCCAUCCAUCCCUUCUUCCACCCCGUGAUUCACUUUUCAUUUUAGUUGCACGUGAUUCAACCGUGCUUGGGUAUUAUAUAGUGGAUAUUAUAGGUGCACUGCAGCUGCUAGACGCUAAAGCGUGCAUAUUAGGUUGUCGUGGCUUGACUGCGUACGCGCGUCUUCAGCUAAACCCUAACAUUUUUGUACAUGUUUUUACCUUUUUUAUCGUCCCAUUGCCAGUAUACUGAUUCUUUUUGUAGCAAUAUAUUUAAAUCAUAGCUGCAGAAAAAAAACUAUUUUGCAAAUGAUUUAAUUAGCGCUUUAGGCGAAUAAACCUUUUACAUCUUUAAUCUAUGAUAAAUCUUCAAUGCAGACGCCAUAUCUUUUAUUUCACAUUGUACAUGUAGAUUCCACUAUAUCUGUAUUGAUAGUAAAGCCAGUAUUUGGUAAAUUUUAUUCUCUCAUUAUCCUAAUUUCGUUUUAACCACUGUUGGGAUUAGCUAACCCAACUAGGAUAAAUAGACAUGUUUAGGUUGGGGUUGAAAGACACCCUGUAAAUAGAUGUUGAGGAUUUUGUUUUUUAAAAUACAUUAAGUGUAGCCAGAUACUAGGGUUUUUAUAGUAAGAUUAGUGUAGUAUGAUUAUAUAUUGAGAAUUAGGUUAUUGGGUCCAUUGGAGGAUAAUCUCUAUUUCUCUAGCGACAUGCUAGAGGUGGACCAUAUUUUUGCCAUUUUUCUCUAUCCCGUCAUUCAACACUAUCUUGCAAUUUUAAUUAAUACUGAUAUGGUGGAUGUUUUUUAGGGAUUUUUUAUUUGUAGAAACUCAUAGCCAAAUCUUCAUUUUUUUACGCGGACUUUCAUAUGUCUAAUUAUGGCCAAAUUGGGAGUUUUAGAUUUAAGGUCCAUAAUGAGGUAAUCUCUAAUUCACUAGUCAAAUACUAGUGGUGGACAAUCUUUUAUCGCGCUCUCGACCAUUUGAACAUAUUAUUAUUGUCCAAGUUUAUUUCGAGGAGCUGGUGUAGUAGUUUUUAUAAAUAGGAUAUUCCUUUUAACAUGUUUAAUCGUUAGUUACUUUGAAAUUCCCUUCUAUAAAAAUUCUUUUUUCUAUAAAAUUAGGGGGUGAGUGUAACCAGGUCGGGUUGCAGUACUUACUUUUCCCCGACUGGUUCCUUACUCCAGCAUUAUUUCAUA
Molecule: long non-coding RNA, 2723 nt
Organism: Patiria miniata (bat star)
Lineage: Eukaryota; Metazoa; Echinodermata; Asteroidea; Valvatida; Asterinidae
Exons: 2
Source: RefSeq, a predicted model, not a curated record